RNAcentral lists this ribosomal RNA (492 nucleotides) under uncultured bacterium. RNAcentral's name for it is "partial 16S ribosomal RNA". It matches the Rfam family "Bacterial small subunit ribosomal RNA", at positions 29 to 507 of the family's 1533-position model. The record is from RNAcentral.
AGUGAACGCUGGCGGUAGGCCUAACACAUGCAAGUCGAACGGCAGCACAGUAGGAGCUUGCUCUUACGGGUGGCGAGUGGCGGACGGGUGAGGAAUACAUCGGAAUCUACUUUUUCGUGGGGGAUAACGUAGGGAAACUUACGCUAAUACCGCAUACGACCUACGGGUGAAAGCAGGGGAUCUUCGGACCUUGCGCGAUUGAAUGAGCCGAUGUCGGAUUAGCUAGUUGGCGGGGUAAAGGCCCACCAAGGCGACGAUCCGUAGCUGGUCUGAGAGGAUGAUCAGCCACACUGGAACUGAGACACGGUCCUGACUCCUACGGGAGGCAGCAGUGGGGAAUAUUGGACAAAGGGCGCAAGCCUGAUCCAGCCAUACCGCGUGGGUGAAGAAGGCCUUCGGGUUGUAAAGCCCUUUUGUUGGGAAAGAAAAGCAGCAGGUUAAUACCCCGCUGUUCUGACGGUACCCAAAGAAUAAGCACCGGCUAACUUCGUG